RNAcentral lists this long non-coding RNA (303 nucleotides) under Phoenix dactylifera (date palm). RNAcentral's name for it is "long non-coding RNA (PDAC_LNC002639)". Lineage: Eukaryota; Viridiplantae; Streptophyta; Magnoliopsida; Arecales; Arecaceae. The record is from RNAcentral.
CAAAUCGCUCGAGCCGCCUCCUAGCGAAGCAGUGGGACUCCGAACAUCGGUGUAUAGCUUGUAAAAACUUGUCCCUCCAACUCCGAACCUCCCGCAGGAUCCCUGUCAGUCGCCAGGUCGUCCUAGCUUAUGUGCACUGGAACAAGACAUGGUCCACCCCUCAUGUCUCUUUUUGAAAUGGUAUUUUUUCUCUAACAUAGAUGGUUUGAAUAUAUUUACUAAAAUUAAAAAAUAAUAAGUUUCAGAACGCUCUAAGUAGUUCGUUUUCUACAAUCCAUAGAAUAUUUUUGGAGUGAUUGGCCA